AAAAAGAUAAACCCUGAGUUUCUGUGUCCAACGUUUGACCGUCCGUCUUAUUUAAAAAAACUAUGAAAAAAACUAAAAAAGAUAAAUCACUCAUAAAGUAUUAAUCAUGUUUUAUCAUCUAACAACAAUAAAAAUACUAAUUAUAAAAAAAAAUUCAUAUAAGACGGACAGUCAAAUGUUGGAUAUGGAAAUUUACUGUUUGUCUUUUU
RNAcentral lists this microRNA precursor (209 nucleotides) under Oryza rufipogon (brownbeard rice). RNAcentral describes it as "MIR812 microRNA precursor family". It matches the Rfam family "MIR812 microRNA precursor family". The record is from Rfam by way of RNAcentral. Lineage: Eukaryota; Viridiplantae; Streptophyta; Magnoliopsida; Poales; Poaceae.